AGUCCAGGUAAUGGAGCAGAGACUGGAGCAGAGACAAGUUGUUCCCACUGAGCUCUCCUCAGAUUACAGAUUGGGAGUGGCAAAUCAAAGGCAUUGCAGCCUCUUUCAUCACUGCCGAUUGCUGAUGCCAACCAUGUGCCAAGUGCUUAAUACGUCACCUUAAAUCUUCUCAUCCACCCUCAGAGUAGCUGCAGCAUCAACCCAGUGCCCUGACUUUCAAGACGACUAUGAAAACACCCCAACUGCUGCUAAAUUACCAGCAACAAGGAUCUGACAUUCUUAUUCAAAAGAAAGAACACCGAAAUUGACCUUACCCUGACAAUAUGAUGGCUGAAGGAUUUAUGAUCACUUAUAACAUUUGAAAUUGAGGCGGAACCUGAAGAAUAAGACUCUGGUGAAAGGUCCUAUUUAUGCUUUUGAUGUCUUUCACUUGGACAUUUACCACAUGCCUAUUGGUAGGUUUGUUACAUAGGUCAGUUAAGGUGAUACAAGAAUAAAUAAAACACUAUCCCUAUCCUUUAAUAUCAUUUAUUUAUGGGGUCAAUCACAGAUUUUCAUUUUUCAAAAUCUUUGAUAAAUGUCAGAAUUAUGUUUUUUAAUAUUUUUACAGAAUUAUUACAAUAUAUGGUAGAGGAUGGAAGGCAAGGUAGUAUGAAACGGAAAAGAUAUUUUGAAUUAAGGUAUUUGGACCUGGAUUAAUAUUUUUGCUUUGGUCUUUAUUAGCUGAGUGACCUUGAGAAAGUUCUUCUACUAAAAAAGAACAAAGAUAAUAAUUACUUCAUGAAAUUGCUGUAAAAAACACAUAACAAGUAUAUCCAGACUCAACAGUGUAUGCUCAAAAAUGCAGAUCCUUUUUCCCUUACCUGCAAAUAAAGUCUUACAGUAAUACAGUGGGGGUAAAGGUUUAAACUGGUGGAUUCAAGAAGGGCUAUAGAAAGAGGUAGCAUCUUAAUAGGGGAAGGAGAGGAUCCAAGAAAUCAGAUCCAUUUUCUACAAAAAGAAAUGGGAAGACAGAUAAUUCAAGAAGAAAAGUUUACAUGAUUAAAGACCCGAAGUUAGAAAUAGUGAUGUGUCUCAAUAGUAAGUUAGGAAUUGGGGUGGACACAAUUGUUGGAAGAAGGAUGGUUUCAGCAAAGGCCCAAGUUAGGUGACAAUUUCAAGUGUUUGUGAAGAUAUAUGAACAAAAUUAUAAAGUAGUUAGGGUAUAAGAAAUAGGGAGGAGGGAAUGAAUUAACAUUUAUGGAGUGUCUUGCAUGUUCCAAGCACUGUACUACUUGCCUUAUAAACCUUUCUUCAAUAAACGCCUACAACAA
Molecule: long non-coding RNA, 1313 nt
Filed under: Homo sapiens (human)
Lineage: Eukaryota; Metazoa; Chordata; Mammalia; Primates; Hominidae
Description: non-protein coding LINC01505:12
Source: RNAcentral